Long non-coding RNA from Grus americana (Whooping crane), 646 nucleotides. RefSeq lists it as uncharacterized. Lineage: Eukaryota; Metazoa; Chordata; Aves; Gruiformes; Gruidae. The transcript is spliced from 4 exons. The record is from RefSeq and is a predicted model, not a curated record.
CUUGGCUUUCUCCAUUUCCUAUCUGUUCCUUACCCCUCACUGUCAGUUAAUUGCAAAACAUCUUUCCAUAGAGCAGAAGCCUUCAUAAGAAAGUCAUAAACCCCCACCCCUGCAGCAGCGAGGUGUUCAGAGCUGCCCAGGAAGGGGUUGGUGUUCUGCUCUGCGCUGUAAGCCCACUAUGGGUUUCUGAGCCCUUUAGCUCUUUGUUGUGGACGAUUCAGGCACAUCUGUGUUGGACCUCAAUCCAGAAAACUUCUGCAAUCAAAGGAAAUGGAGUUGGGUCUCCUGGCUUAGCGAAGCUCAGCACAGAGGUGAGCCCUCCUCAGGAGAGGAUCAUCUAUUGAAUGGACAGUGCCAGCAGGAGCCUCCAUCCUUAGGACAGGCUGUCCACCCGCUCCUUCAGAUGGAGAGAGAUGCUGAGCUGGAGGUGCCCAGAGAGGCCGGAGACCCUGAAUAUUAUCAAAACUUGAAUGUCUAAGGCCCUGAGCAACCUGAGCAAAUUUUGAAGGUCUGAGGCUGGAGUUCCUGGAGUCCCUUCUCGCCUGCGUUACCCUGCCAGGAGUGUUACCGUGGCUGUAAGCUUUCCUCAUUUCUGCACUUUCCCUUAAAAAUAGCAACACUGGUCACAAGGAGACAAAAGAGAGAG